Molecule: long non-coding RNA, 405 nt
Organism: Lutra lutra (Eurasian river otter)
Lineage: Eukaryota; Metazoa; Chordata; Mammalia; Carnivora; Mustelidae
Exons: 3
Source: RefSeq, a predicted model, not a curated record
AAAAUUCAAACUAUGCAGCUUUGUCACUUUAGGAAGAGAAAAAUGGAGAAGUAGAAGAGGCAGAGAAAGGAGCAAGAGGAGCAAUAGAAGGAAGAGAAUAAUCCAGAGAAGGACAUGGUCUCUCUGGACGUCAUACUGCUGGUCUGUUAAAGGAAGAUGCAGCACCAAAGCACUCGGAACCCAUGCCAAACUGCGCUUCAAACAUCAGUUCAAAGAAAUACGUGCAGCCCUAUGCUUACUGCAGCACUGUUCACAACCGCCAAGCUAUGGAAGCAGCCCAGGUGUCCAUUAAGAGAUGACUGGAUCAGAGAGAACCAUGGAGGAGCUGGGAUAAGCUCUGAGCCGGAAGUCGCUCCCACAGGUCCACACACGAGAUCCCUAUGUUGACCUAUUUCAUGUUCCUCA